This is a long non-coding RNA of Patella vulgata (common limpet), 1603 nucleotides long. RefSeq lists it as uncharacterized. NCBI's taxonomy places the organism in Eukaryota, Metazoa, Mollusca, Gastropoda, Patellidae. The record is from RefSeq and is a predicted model, not a curated record. The transcript is spliced from 7 exons.
AUAACGAGCAUCAUAACUCAACCAGAAUUCGUCACAUACGCUUAGCUUCGCGUUAAAAUCAUUAUGCGUGGUUUGUUAGUUGCUGUUCUUGUUGCUGCCUUUGUUGCAACCGUUUCUACUGGUCAUUCACACAAAAGAAGGUAUUCGAGGAGAAGGCCAGCCUUUAACCUUGAAAGGAUGAGCUGUGACAGAAUUAAAAGAGCGGGCCUAUGCCACUGUUGUAAAGACACCUGUGAUGAUGUUGAAUGUCUCAACAAUGGAGUAUGUGUCAAUGGUAUUUGUAAUUGUCCCCGUGGCUUUUCAGGAGCAGAUUGUGGUGUUGAUCUGUGUGCCGCUGAACCUUGCAAAAAUAAUGGAACUUGUGUACCUGAGGCUGGUGGAGUGUCCUGUAAAUGUGAGGAUGGAUUUAUAGGAACUUAUUGUGAGACUGAUGCGUGUGAGCCGAAUCCAUGCCAGAAUUGUGGACGUUGUAUGCGUAUUCAAGGUGGGUUCAAGUGUGAUUGUUUGGGUCGCAUCACCGGAAGAACGUGUGAAGUUAUAGACAAUAUUAUAACAUCACCUAACUACCCUAAUAAUUACCCAGACGAUAGCCCGUCUUCUACCAAUUGGACUAUUCCGGGAUGUAAUGGUAAACAGAUCCGUGUUGUGUACGAUGAUAAUUUCGGAAUAGACUACCAAAAUAUAACAUCUGGUCGUCCACAAUGUACCCCACUCGGUUCUGGCGGCUGUAACGAUAAUCAUGAAAUAACAGUUUUUUAUUAUCCAACGUCUAUUAGCCAGUCUACAUUUUGUGGCGGGAGGUCUCCUGGAACGAUUGAAUUAUCAUCUGACGUGAUAGCGAUCUAUAUACGACUUGUUACAAACGGUAACGGUGCCGGAUGCACAGGUUUCAAGUUAACGUAUACGUACCUUGAUUGAAUGCCUAAAGAAUACUGAUAAAACAUUGUAUCCAUCAAUUUCGUUUGUUGUUAGGUGCCAGUUUUUUUUUCUUCUUUUCUCCUUUCUAUAUUACCCUAAUUUCAUUUUGAUUGGUUUAAUUUUAACUAAAUGGGUCAAUUAUUUAUGUGUGUGGGUGUGUAAAUUAUUAGAUUCACUUUUUUCCAAUUUAUCAUCUUUUAUUGAUUAAUUUUUUUUUUUUUUUUUUGAAAAUGGGAUUGGUUUAAUUCGAUGUAUGGUUAACUGUGUUUGUUAAAUUGUCCUUAUAUGGGUGUGUGAAUUAUUAGAUUAAAUUUAUCAAAGAAUUAUUUAAUUUAUUUGGAAGAAGAAAUCGGGAUUGGAAGAUGUAUUAAAAUUAUCUUAAUUGAUCAAAAUGAUGUAGAAUCUGAUGAUCCGGUCUAGAAGUUAAAAUACAAAAUAAUCACAUCAACAGGAGUCGCCAGGUGCAAACACUCUCAGGUAGUAUCAGGUGUACAUGAAAGCAUAGUCUACCUCGUACUUGAUAACGUCUACUGUGCAAGUGCCAAAUGAAAGACCGAGCAUGAUUUAAUUUAAACUGUUGUCUAUAUAAAUUAUUCAGUAUGGUUUGCUGUAUUUUAUCUUAUUUUUUUGAUAUAGAUGUGUAUCUAUUCUCUCGGGGUUUCUUGAAUAAAUUAUCUGAAUUGGU